ACUCCUACGGGAGGCAGCAGUGGGGAAUAUUGGACAAUGGGCGCAACCCUGACGCAGCAACGCCGCGUGGAGGAUGAAGGGCUUCGGCUCGUAAACUCCUUUCGACCGGGACGAGUAGAAGACGGUACCGGAAGAAGAAGCCCCGGCUAACUACGUGCCAGCAGCCGCGGUAAU
This 174-nucleotide ribosomal RNA is filed under the name uncultured soil bacterium. RNAcentral's name for it is "partial 16S ribosomal RNA". It matches the Rfam family "Bacterial small subunit ribosomal RNA", at positions 335 to 524 of the family's 1533-position model. The record is from RNAcentral.